AUGCCUCACACUAUUUGCACCAAUGAUUCCAUCGUCUGCUUCUGUUAUUGUUGUCCGCGAAACCGGCCCUGUUAUAACAUUUUAGCAUUCUAGUUUGUCUUGAAGCUAUUUGCUGGAAAGCACUACUUUUGGAACGCCGUUCCACAAUGCAUUUCAAGACAGCAGGGUUAUCCUUACACGACGCUUGGUCGCCUUUUAAAUACAAGCUUCGUGAACGCAAUAAGGCAAUAUAGGCGUAUACAUGUCAGCAUGUUGAUCAAAAGUUAUAAUUUUUUGAAGGGAUUUUCCAUGUCAUUCAGUUAUUGAGUGUUUCUAUUCAAUUGGGUUGUCUGAGGGUUGGUACUGUGACUCGCACACUGUCGUUUUCGCGCGGACUUGCUCUUGCUCGUGGUUCUAUCUCCGGAUUUCUGUGUGUGUUUCUGGCCAUUCAAGUAACAUCAAAUCAAUUAAUGACGAAUGGAGGAUCAAAAAGAGAACCCUCCAAUUCUGGAAGUGGGGCAAGAGUAUGAAUCUAUUAAACAGUUUGAGGCUUCUCUUAGGAAGUAUGAAGCUACUAACUUCUGUCUGUACAACAGACGAAGAAGUACGCCAUAUGAAGCAGAUGAGAAGUUGGCAUUUUCUUUUAUUCGAUAUGAGUGCAUACACUUUGGGGCCAAGAGGCCUAACCCCAAUUUAACUGGGGAUAGACCUAUGCAAAAAUCAUACAAGAUUGGUUGCAAGUCGUACCUAGAAUUGAAGCUCAUUAAAACAGGAAAAUGUCUUGUCGUAGAUGUUUUUCAUAUUGUGCACAACCAUCCGUGCACUAAAGUUACCUAUGAUGGAUAUCCUAAGGUCCGCAAGAUGCAAAUGGCCACAAUCAAGUGUGUUCAGGACUUCAACAAAGUGAAAGCCAAGCCUCUGCUGAUCAAGCCUUUGAUCAAAGCAAGGGAAGGAGACAAAAUUGUUUUAAGCAGAGACAUCAGCAAUGUUCGGACCAAUCAAAUUAGAAACGACCGCAAGGGUCGCAGUGAGGAGGAAAUGCUCCUUGCUAAAUUGCAAGAAAUUAAAGACAAAGACCCUGAGGCUUCCACGGUGUUGGACUACAACAAGGAUACUAAGAAAGUUAAUUUCUUAUUGAUUCAGACCUCAGAGAUGAGAAAAGCUCUUCACAAAUUUCCUGAAGUCAUUCUCAUGGACAUUUCAUACAAAAUAAACAAAAACAUGAUGCCUGUAAGUGUAAUUCAGGUAAUGAAUGGUGAAGGGAAAGGCGAGGCAGUAUGCUAUGCUUUCCUUGCCAACGAGAGGAAAGAAACGCUGACAAACAUGCUGCUUGCCUUUUGCGUCCAAAGUGGUCAAGAGAUCUUUGAAAAGACAAAUUGCAUAGUUGUGGACAAGGAUUUCUCUGAAAUUGGGGCCAUUAGAGCUGUGAUGCCAAACGCAAAAGUGCACAUCUGCAGCGUACAUGUUGAAAAGAAUAUGAAGAAAGCUGCUAAAGGAGACCCAAAUAAAGGAGCUGCCAUCGAAUCCUUUAAGGGCAUGAUGUAUGCGGAAGAUGAUCCUGAAUUCCAAGUCCAUUUUGUACAGUUUAACAAAGUAGCAAGCAAGACUUUGAAUCAGUAUUUUGUCAACAAUUGGCUGCUUUCAAAAGAGGCCUGGAGCCUCAAAGACCGAAUUGUGGUUAACACACUAAGAAACCACACCACCAAUAGGGUUGAGAAUGCAAAUAAGAAUCUAAAAGUGGUAAUGGAUGUGAAUACCACACUGUACGAUGCUGUGGAUGGCCUAAUUGUGUAUAUUCUGGGAAGCAGACGCGACGAUGCCAGAUACAGAGAUCAUGAGGCCCUUACUAAGAUUGUUACUAUCAACAAAUGCAGUGACCCUGUAAUUUCCCAAAUUUGUAAUGAACUGACUAUAUUUUCUGCAAAAUUGGUCUGCGAACAGUAUGAAUUGAGCAAAAAACCAUCACCAGACCCUGACCGGUAUCAAGCAACAAAAAAGUCUUGUACUUGUGCAUUUUUGAAAAUUUGGGGUAUAACUUGCCGGCACAUAAUGCGCUUCAGAAAAGAUUCAGGAAUUGCUCAGUAUGAUUUGGAGUUGAUUCCGAAGAGGUGGAGGAAGGAAUUUAAUUUGAGUCACUCAAAUGUUGCUGGUCCAGCUAGGAUCGAGGUAGCUGAAGGAAAUUCAAUACUGAAGCCAAGAAUGCCUGCCAAACGGGUUAGUGAUUUUCUCGGGCCCAGGGAAAAGUUCCUCAAAGCAGCUGAACUAACUCAGAGUAUCAAUCCCUUGCUUGUUGAUGUUGGCACAAAGAUACAUUAUGAACGUUACCAGUUACUUACUGACCUUUGUGAGGCCUGGAAAGCUGGGACGGAAGUACAAUUACUCCAUCAGAACAAACCACAUUCUCAUAAAGAUGUUAUUGAAGAUGGUGAUACCUCAGAGACAGCUCCCUUCAAGCUCAACUCUGUCAAGAUUGUAGGCCACCCUAAGGGCAUUGGUGAAACUGUACAUGAUGGUACCAAGAAAAAAGGUACAUCAAAAGCAAAAGCCAAGGUCAAAGCUCAAAUUAAUGAAGCAGGGAAAACUCAAUGCUGCUGUUCAUGUGGGCUUGAGGCUGGUGAGCACUUCUGUAUCCACUGCAAAAAAGUGGUACAUGCAAUUGAGCCAUGCUCAGUAGCUGCUCCAAAUGCUCCAGAAAACUAUGGGCAGCCAAGAAUUUGUGCUGAUUGUGGAGGACUUGAGGAUGAUGUAGCAUCAACAAAGUCAAGCAACGGGAGUGUUCUCUCAACAAUGUUAACAGUUCCAAGUGGCGUUCCAAGUGGCAACCCAAGAACCGAGUCCAAUUCUGGUUCACAAGCAGGAUCAGAUGAAGAAACACUUGAAACAAAUCAGGGUAGAACUUUGCAAAGGUAUAACUGCUGUUGUAGCUGUGGCAUGGAAAUGGAAGGGCACCAUUGCAGUUUAUGUGAUGAGUUGGUUCAUGAUGUUGAGCCUUGCUCAUACAAAGAUUUUCACCCGGAUAGGUUCAAUUCCGAGGGGCGACUUUGUGCUGGCUGUGAAGGCAGGGGUGAUUUGAAGCCAUUUACCAAAAGCCUCCCUGACAAUGUGUCUGAAAUCAUAAUCAUCAGUGACAGUGAGCCAGAAAUUGAGAACGGGAAUGACAACAAGCAGCAGGCAAUUGAAGCAGAUCUGUUUGCUGAUGAAGAAUGGUCAGGCGUGGGCUUCGAUUUAAGUGAAUUCCUUUAUCUCAAUAAAGAUGGGGAAACUGACACGGUUCAGAAUGUGUCAGAGACUGAGCCUGUUGAUGAAUCUAAUAUAGAAGCUACAAACAGUAAUCAGCAAACGAGGACUGAGGUUACAAACGGAGGCUCCACAAAUAAUCCCAGGAAUAGUGAAAAUUAUGGAGAUACUGCCUUUGUGCUCGAUGUUGUUCAAACCAAAGGGCGUCCAAAAACAACAACACGAAAAACUGUCCGAAGUUGGAACUUUACCGCUGUUGCAGACAAGCCUGAGGAUAUGUGCUGCAUUUGUGAAAAAAGUGGUGCAGCAGAGAAAUGUCAGAAGUGUCAAAGCACUGUCCACUCUUCCCUUCCUUGUUCAUUGGAUGACAAGGGUCCAGAAAAGGGGAGAAUUUGCAAUUUCUGCUGUGAUUACAGGAUUACUGAUGCUGAGAGAAAAAGCAAGGACCCCAAAAAGCCACCAUACUACUGCUUUGGAUGCAACUAUUUAAUGAAAAUGUUCAUAGCCAAGAAUCCCAAGCAACCCAGCAGGAAGGGGGCUGCAUAUUAUGGGUGCCUGAAGAAAUUAACUGAGGAGUGCAAGCCAUUUAAGUUUUGGGCAUCAAAACAGGACACUAACCAGGACAGCAAGAUGGCUCCAAAACUCAAUUUCAUACACAAGUUUGCAAAUCAUUUUUACAUGCAUUUCAAAAGUAGCUAUGAAAAAUAUUUGUUACUGUCUAUCAUAGUAAGUUUCUUUUUGAACUGAUGCAGAGGAUUUUUUCCUAUUGCUUUCCACAAUUAUGGUCCUGAAAUGAUUUGUGGUACUGCUAAAUCUCCAUUUAUUUAUACAUACAAGUAACUUCUAUAAACACAAAGCAGGGACAGGUGAUGAGUCCAGGGGUGAUUGAUUCUAAUUUGUCAUCAGUCAUCAAGUAGUCAAGUACUGGUCAUCACAGUAUCAUAGACUCUUUUGGUUUUCAUUUUUUCUAUCAUUUGCAUCUACCAUAGCCCAAAUUCUUUUUGACUGCAACUUGAUGUGUGUUAAACAUUGUCCUAAGGACAGAAGCUGAUCAUUGUCAGGGCUCUCCAAAACGGCCCUUAUGAGGGCCUAAAGAAACCUCCAUUCUUCUGGUGGUCCAUGCAAGUUCACCUUCAAAGAGGCGCGCCAAUGGUGACAAUAAUGUCAACUAUAUAACUCCAACAAAGAGAUCACGUCAUGGCAGGGUUCUCCACAAAAAAAAGGUUUUCACUCCAUAAUCUUUUAUGCUAUCUUAUUUCUUACUCUGAAAUUUUCAUAAUUUUUAUUGGUUUUCAUGUUUGUACUCUUAAUUUUUCUUUUUUUAUCACUGUAUUUAUUCUAAUACACACUUGAUAUUUAAUUCCGUACUGUUUGAAACUUUUAAAUUUUGAGGCCCGCCAAUCACUCUAAUAAGGAGAUCACGGCAUAGCAGGGCUCUCCCUCCCCCAAUUGAAAAAAAGGUUUUCACUCCAUAAUCUUUUAUGUUAUCUGAAAUUUUAAUUAUUUUUUAUUGCUUUUCAUGUUUGUACUCUAAAAUAUUUUUUUUAUCAUUGUAUUUAUUCCAAUACAUACUUAAUAUUUAAUUUUGUUGUUUUGAAUAAAAGAACUAGAUUCUUGAAAUAUUGCCAAUGUAGAACAUUUAUUGAAUACCUCGUUC
Molecule: RNA transcript, 4873 nt
Organism: Frankliniella occidentalis (western flower thrips)
Lineage: Eukaryota; Metazoa; Arthropoda; Insecta; Thysanoptera; Thripidae
Exons: 18
Source: RefSeq, a predicted model, not a curated record